This 137-nucleotide ribosomal RNA is filed under the name uncultured Trebouxiophyceae. Its description in RNAcentral is "partial small subunit ribosomal RNA". It matches the Rfam family "Eukaryotic small subunit ribosomal RNA", at positions 1670 to 1804 of the family's 1831-position model. The record is from RNAcentral. Lineage: Eukaryota; Viridiplantae; Chlorophyta; Trebouxiophyceae.
CGCCCGUCGCUCCUACCGAUUGGAUGUGCUGGUGAAGCGUUCGGACUGGCGGCGCCCAGCGGUCCGCCGCAGGACGCCGCCGGGAAGUUCGUUGAACCCUCCCAUCUAGAGGAAGGAGAAGUCGUAACAAGGUCUCC